UCCGUAGGGGGCAAGCGUUGUCCGGAAUCAUUGGGCGUAAAGAGCGUGUAGGCGGCCCGAUAAGUCCGCCGUGAAAGUCCAGGGCUCAACCCUGGAAUGCCGGUGGAAACUGUCGGGCUGGAGUCCGGAAGAGGCGAGUGGAAUUCCUGGUGUAGCGGUGAAAUGCGCAGAUAUCAGGAGGAACACCGGUGGCGAAGGCGGGAUCCUGGGCCAGUACUGACGCUGAGGAGCGAAAGCGUGGGGAGCAAACAGG
RNAcentral lists this ribosomal RNA (253 nucleotides) under uncultured bacterium. Its description in RNAcentral is "partial 16S ribosomal RNA". It matches the Rfam family "Bacterial small subunit ribosomal RNA", at positions 524 to 776 of the family's 1533-position model. The record is from RNAcentral.